CUGGGCGUGUCUUUCUUCUCUGCAGGCAGCCACGCUCAUCUUCCUGGCCGCGCUCAUCUUCCUGCUGCUCCAGCGCGCCCAGCUCCCAGCUCGGAUCCCUGCCUCAACUCGCCUCCCUCACGGCGCCCUCCCUCCGUUCCUUCUCCUCCAUGGCCGUCGGUCCUCCCCGCGCUGCUCUCUGUCUCUCUCCUAGCCGCGGUCGGCUCUGGCCCAGGUCCGAUCGGUGCUCCUCCCUGCUGUAGCGCCGGUCCCAGCUCGGAUCCCUCCCAGCCGCGGCUCUCCGGUGUUUGGCCCUGGUCCAAGCUCCUGCUCGUCCAGCCCCCUUCCCAGGCGCCCCUGGCUGAGCUCCCCCAUGGCGUCUCCCCCAUCCAUGGCUGUGUCGUUCCCCUGCUCUGGUGGCUGAGCUAUCUCUCUUGUGCUCGACGAAACGACCAUGAGGAGUUUUGUGUUGUGUGCAGCCCCAUAUGCGACACCGUCGAACCCCGGAUGUGA
Molecule: unclassified non-coding RNA, 492 nt
Filed under: Zea mays
Lineage: Eukaryota; Viridiplantae; Streptophyta; Magnoliopsida; Poales; Poaceae
Description: misc RNA Zm00001eb341200
Source: RNAcentral